Molecule: non-coding RNA, 332 nt
Filed under: Stegodyphus mimosarum
Lineage: Eukaryota; Metazoa; Arthropoda; Arachnida; Araneae; Eresidae
Description: Eukaryotic small subunit ribosomal RNA
Rfam family: Eukaryotic small subunit ribosomal RNA
Source: Rfam by way of RNAcentral
UAGUUUUGGUCUAAUAAAAGUGCUUGUCCCCAAAGGAUCAGAGCUCUGCUAGUUACUGCCUGUUCUGAACUUCUGUUUACUUUGAUGAUUUUCAUCAGUUGUCUUUGGUGACCGGGAAGUUUACUUUGAAAUUAUUAGAGUGAUAAAUGAAGGCGUAAGCCUGAAUAAUGAAAUAGGACCUCGGUUCUGUUUUGCUGGGUUUCGGAAUGCGAGGUAAUUCUUAAGAGAGACAGAUGAAGAAAUUCGCAAUGAGACGCCAGAGGUGAAAUUUGCGGACAGUCGCAAGACGAACUACUGAGAAAACAUUUGCCAAAAAUGUUUCCAUUAAUCAA